AUUAUUUUGGCAGAUUAGUGCAGCAGAUUUAGAAUCUGUUUAAGUAAGUUUAAACUUACAUUUAAUAC
RNAcentral lists this transfer RNA (68 nucleotides) under Agrilus sp. UPOL A00664. RNAcentral describes it as "tRNA-Leu". It matches the Rfam family "tRNA". Rfam says of the family: Transfer RNA (tRNA) molecules are approximately 80 nucleotides in length. Their secondary structure includes four short double-helical elements and three loops (D, anti-codon, and T loops). Lineage: Eukaryota; Metazoa; Arthropoda; Insecta; Coleoptera; Buprestidae. The record is from RNAcentral.